Molecule: RNA transcript, 3687 nt
Organism: Capsicum annuum
Lineage: Eukaryota; Viridiplantae; Streptophyta; Magnoliopsida; Solanales; Solanaceae
Exons: 9
Source: RefSeq, a predicted model, not a curated record
AAAAGAAGAGAAAAAAUCCAUUUUCUUCAAAGGAAAAAAAUAUGAAGUAUGAUAAACAUUAUGAUGGUUACCGGUCACAUAUGAUCAUAUAUGUGAAAGGAGAUCUUCUCGAAUGUCCUUGCUUUUUUUUUUUUCUGCUUUUUUGCUUUUUUCUUUCUGAUUCUUUUUUUAAGUUCCAUUGUUUUUUACUCUUCUCUCUUUUGGAGUGUUGAUGUUGCCAAAGAUAAUUGCUAUGACCUGCAAAGUUGCUUCUAUAUUGAUAAGAGAUAAUUGCUAUAACCUGCAAAGUUGCUUCUAUAUUGAAAUAACUUAUCCACAGUGCUUUUCUGUCUUGCCUCUGAUUUCCGGACUUUUUAAAGAAAGUUUUCUCAUCAACCCAAUAAAAGUCUAUUCGGCCAUUCAAAACACUGCUGAGACUGUUCCCUAAAAUUUUCCAUCCAGUAGCAAAACUCCCAAAAUAACAAUUUUAAUUAUUCAACAGCAUUUAUAUUUUAUCCAAAAUAAAAUAAAUGUUGUUCAAAAUAUAUCUAAAGUUGAAAGACUAUUUUAACCCCACCUAAGCUUCAGUGCAGUGCGUUAGUGGAGAAGCAAAAGUAGUACCUCUGGUUAGGCUGUUAAUAUAAAGACAAAAUACCUCUCACCUCUACUACUCGCAGAGGUCCUUUGCUUUUUUUUUUUUUUACUUGCUCUGCAAUCUUCUUUCCACUUUUAGUGUAAAAAAGUUCACGUUUUUGUAGCCAUUUGUAAAGCUCUCUCUUCUUCAUCACUACAAAACAAUGUGAAUAUGUAAUCACCUCUGCAGAUUCUAGUGGAGUUCCGUUCAAUUUUCAUCUUCUAAUCUCUCUGUAGAAAUGUGCAGUAGCUAGGGUUUUACAGAACAUAUACAUCAACAUUGACGAUACAGAAGCUUUGAUUUUGGUUCCAAGUGCGAAAUUGACUCUGAUUAUUGUUUUCGGAAGGUUUACGUAGUGAACAGUUAUAUCCGGAAACUGCAGAGGCUGGAUACUCAGUUACACGAACUUGUACGGACUCUGAAAAAUUUGAGCAAGACUUUGGAAUGAGUGUGGAAAUUGAAGAAUGCAGCUCGGAAGAGCAGUUGGAAUCGGAGGGAACCAGUACCACUACAGGGAUCUCAAAAGUUUCGAGGCUUACAUACAGUAAAGAGUUCAUGUUAUCAUUGUCUAACCUGCCUUUUUGUAAAAGCUUGCCUGAAGAUUUUGAUCCAUCAGCUUUACGAGAUUUGAGGAUUACAUAUGCUAAAGAAGUCAUGUUAUCAUUGUCUAACCAACAAAUUUGUGAAGACUUGCCCGAAGAUUUUGAUUCAUCAGCUUUACACGAACAAGAUGGCUUAUCUGAGUGUAAGGUGGGAGCGCAACAUACAUCUGCAACUCUACCCCUACAUGCUUCAAACAAUUGUUACAUUGGCUCGUCACCUGUUAUUAGAUGUGAUUUAGUUUCCAAUUCUCGUGGAUCUUGUGGAAGAUGGGAAAAACAAUUUUCACGGUUGAACGGAGAGAGCAGUUUACAGGGAAGCUGUGAUUCAGAUUCCAUGGCGCAGAAUGAUUCUUCUGGGAUUUUGGGAUCACUUCUUAGUAAGAGCAAGAACCCUUAUCGUCCACCACAGUAUUACAAGGUUGGCAAUUUCUAUUCAUAUGCUUGCGAUUCAUCUAAAGGAACGAAGUCUCUGACCAACACAGCCUGUACUGCUCAAGAGGAUGUUCCAUUAAACAAGGAUACUCUUCAAGAUGAUGUAGUUGGGGAUAAAAGUUCUGGUGUUCUGGCUACUCAUUGGAGCAAGCAGAUUUUAAACUUACCUGAAGCCCAAAAUUCUGUUAACAAGUCUGUGGAUGAGGAGAAGUCACACAGCAAAGCAUUUGGUUCUAUUAAUGCUGUCAUUGCUACUCAGCAAAAACAUCUUGAUUCUGAAGCUAAAGCACCAACUGUGAAUAUUAUUCGGGAAGAAUCUGAAAAAGGACAACUUGGAAAGAUACUAGGGAAGGAAGUAUCCCUGCAACAUACUGACUUUCCUGGCAUUGAAACAAAAUGUUUGAGGGGGCUAUGUACUGGUGGAAUGGAGAAUAGUAUUCUCACAGUCAACGUUUUAGCAGCAGAAAGCCAUGAAAAUCAUAAACUGAAUCUGGAGUCCAAGGAAGAUGUUAAAACUGAAAUCAGCAAUGAGGUUCUCUCAGAUGAAGCAUUCUUUGCUUCACAGGGAAAUUUGUAUGAGAGGAUUUCCAACAGCGAGGAGUUACAGCCCAAUGAAUUCUUCUUAGCAUCAGUUCUCUGUGAUUGUGGAGCUUUUGAGACAGAUGGUAAAAGCAUCAGGGAUUCCAUCUUCGAUUGUGAGCUUGAAUUGGAUGAGAUCGAGGAGAGUAAAUCUCCUUUUGAUGAUUUUUGGGCUGAAAUAUUGGCAGUUAUUCAUUUGGAGCAAGAACCUAGGGACCAUUACUCAGCUGAUACAGUUAACAUAACUGAAUCUGAAGUUCCACUACAUUUACCGGAUGAAGAUGAAUUGAUUUUACUCAAUUAUCAGGAAGGCCCAAAAGAGCCCAAGAGCCCUAAUGUGGACAGUUCUAUUGAUUCAGAUUUUGUGGAAGAUGAAAUCAAUUUGCCUGACGAGGACAGUUUGAUUUCUGUUGACCAUCUAUUGCCGCUCUCAAAGCAUUGUCCAGAGGUAACAUUUGUUGGCAAUACUGAUAGAUUGAUGCCUAACUUCACUGCUGAUAAAACUGGACACCCAGAAGUUGCUCAUUGUUAUGAGAAACCUUUUCCACCUGCUCGGAAAGUUCCACCAUCUCACAAUUUUUCAGGCUCUGCAACUCACCGGAAACCAUGUCCCCACCAGAUCUCUUCUCAGACCUCGUGUUGCUAUGUAAAUCAAGAAAUUCCAACUUUCCAUCCAUUGGAUCUGUAUUUUACUUGCAGUAGUUUCCAGAACACAAGAGAAGAAAAAUUUGUUCAUCAUUACCCUGCAGUAUAUUUCUACCCGUGGUCGAACAUUCAUCAUGAGACUCUCAUGAAAACCACACCUGCCAUGGAAAAGAAAAAUGGAUAUCUUGAACAGUAUACAGUGUUGCAUCGGCCAGAUAGUUUUCUUCAGCAAAGGGAGCAGCUAAGUGUGUCCCCAACAGAUGCUAUUGAGCAAGUUGUUUAUGAUGUUGUACAACAGUGGGAUGCUAUGCAGCAAUUGCCUGAGACUUAUCAACAAUUACACUAUCCUGGAUUUGGAUUUCCAAUAUGAAGCGAGAUUAUCCAGAUGCUGCUGAUGUGCAACUAGAAGGAAAAAGGAAACUUAAUUGUGGCUAUCCAACUUCCACCACCGUAGAAUUUUAGUAGUAUGUAGUAGAUGAUCAUUUUGAUGGAUUGGUUGGGCAAUUUCUGGCUGAUACAACAAUUACACAAAUCUCACCCCCCGUUGAAGUUUGUAAUUACCCACCCAUUAGGUUUAGACAGGAAAGCAGCUUGGGGGAGCUUGUUUUAGUUGGAAAAGUAACCGACUAUAGGAUAACACAACAUUCGCCAAGUAAAAUAACCUUAUCAAUAAUCUCUUCUUUCUUCUAUAAGGCGUUUAACUGAUUAUGGCAAAUUAAGGCAACAUACAAUUACCAGGUAUCUAAACAAGUCAGUAGGAAUGAUGAAAACGUGACUUUUUUUUUUUCUUCCUAAUUUGCAGGUUUUAAGAAAAUA